RNAcentral lists this ribosomal RNA (497 nucleotides) under uncultured bacterium. RNAcentral's name for it is "partial 16S ribosomal RNA". It matches the Rfam family "Bacterial small subunit ribosomal RNA", at positions 28 to 507 of the family's 1533-position model. The record is from RNAcentral.
GAUGAACGCUGGCGGCGUGCCUAAUACAUGCAAGUCGAGCGAACGGACGCAAAGCUUGCUUCUCUGAUGUUAGCGGCGGACGGGUGAGUAACACGUGGAUAACCUACCUAUAAGACUGGGAUCACUUCGGGAAACCGGAGCUAAUACCGGAUAAUAUUUUGAACCGCAUGGUUCAAAAGUGAAAGACGGUCUUGCUGUCACUUAUAGAUGGAUCCGCGCUGCAUUAGCUAGUUGGUAAGGUAACGGCUUACCAAGGCAACGAUGCAUAGCCGACCUGUGAGGGUGAUCGGCCACACUGGAACUGAGACACGGUCCAGACUCCUACGGGAGGCAGCAGUAGGGAAUCUUCCGCAAUGGGCGAAAGCCUGACGGAGCAACGCCGCGUGAGUGAUGAAGGUCUUCGGAUCGUAAAGCUCUGUUAUUAGGGAAGAACAUAUGUGUAAGUAACUGUGCACAUCUUGACGGUACCUAAUCAGAAAGCCACGGCUAACUACGUG